GUAUAAGAGACAGCAGUCGCCGCGGGAAUACAGAGGGUGCGAGCGUUAAUCGGAUUUACUGGGCGUAAAGCGUGCGUAGGCGGCUUUUUAAGUCGGAUGUGAAAUCCCUGAGCUUAACUUAGGAAUUGCAUUCGAUACUGGGAAGCUAGAGUAUGGGAGAGGAUGGUAGAAUUCCAGGUGUAGCGGUGAAAUGCGUAGAGAUCUGGAGGAAUACCGAUGGCGAAGGCAGCCAUCUGGCCUAAUACUGACGCUGAGGUACGAAAGCAUGGGGAGCAAACAGGAUUAGAUACCCCCGUAGUCCCUGUCUCUUAUAC
RNAcentral lists this ribosomal RNA (314 nucleotides) under uncultured bacterium. RNAcentral describes it as "partial 16S ribosomal RNA". It matches the Rfam family "Bacterial small subunit ribosomal RNA", at positions 495 to 807 of the family's 1533-position model. The record is from RNAcentral.